AGCUUGCUUUCCUGAUACUUAGCGGCGGACGGGUGAGUAACACGUAGGCAACCUGCCCUCAAGCUUGGGACAACUACCGGAAACGGUAGCUAAUACCGAAUACUUGUUUUCUUCGCCUGAAGGGAACUGGAAAGACGGAGCAAUCUGUCACUUGGGGAUGGGCCUGCGGCGCAUUAGCUAGUUGGUGAGGUAACGGCUCACCAAGGCGACGAUGCGUAGCCGACCUGAGAGGGUGAUCGGCCACACUGGGACUGAGACACGGCCCAGACUCCUACGGGAGGCAGCAGUAGGGAAUCUUCCGCAAUGGGCGAAAGCCUGACGGAGCAAUGCCGCGUGAGUGAUGAAGGUUUUCGGAUCGUAAAGCUCUGUUGCCAGGGAAGAACGCUUGGGAGAGUAACUGCUCUCAAGGUGACGGUAC
RNAcentral lists this ribosomal RNA (418 nucleotides) under Paenibacillus sp. Bacteria_74. RNAcentral describes it as "bacterial SSU rRNA". It matches the Rfam family "Bacterial small subunit ribosomal RNA", at positions 65 to 478 of the family's 1533-position model. Lineage: Bacteria; Bacillati; Bacillota; Bacilli; Caryophanales; Paenibacillaceae. The record is from RNAcentral.